GGUGGAAGCCGCCGGGGUAUCCUUGACCCAAAAUUGCCGUGUCUCUGACCCUGGAGACGUUUAGGGUCCCAGCAGCAGGAGCUGACGAAGCGCUCGAGUGCACCGGGAUGUGCAGAUGCUCGGGGCUUGGCCCACGCCCUGGGAGGAGGUCACUGUCGCCUGGGCCAGGUCAGAAUUCCUGGAGGGCAGAACCGUGGAGAAGCCGGCUCCUCUUGUUCCUGAGAGCUGGGAGCAGGCCCGGAGGCUUUUGUGUAAACUCAGCCAAGUGCUGGAUAAACAGCCCAGAGCCCGCCGGCGCGACCAUCAGCUGGCAGGAGGCCCAGAGGGCGACGGGAGCCAGUGAGACCUCCGCACCCAGCUGUUCCCCACUGCCCGCCCUGCCCUCCGAUGCCCCGGAGGGGCUGCAGGGUGGGCUGCACUCUCAGCGACCCUCGCGCUGCCACCGCGGCCUCCCCGCCGGCCCUGUGUGUCACAACACUUUAAAAUGUAGCCAAGGGAAGCGGACUUGGCCCAGUGGUUAGGGCGUCCGCCUACCACAUGGGAGGUCCGCGGUUCAAACCCCGGGCCUCCUCCACCCGUGUG
This 582-nucleotide long non-coding RNA is filed under the name Dasypus novemcinctus (nine-banded armadillo). RNAcentral's name for it is "lncRNA (ENSDNOG00000050409.1)". Lineage: Eukaryota; Metazoa; Chordata; Mammalia; Cingulata; Dasypodidae. The record is from RNAcentral.